GUGGGGAAUUUUGGACAAUGGGCGCAAGCCUGAUCCAGCAAUGCCGCGUGCAGGAAGAAGGCCUUCGGGUUGUAAACUGCUUUUGUACGGAACGAAACGGUCCGGGUUAAUACCCUGGGCUAAUGACGGUACCGUAAGAAUAAGCACCGGCUAACUACGUGCCAGCAGCCGCGGUAAUACGUAGGGUGCAAGCGUUAAUCGGAAUUACUGGGCGUAAAGGGUGCGCAGGCGGUUUUGUAAGACAGGCGUGAAAUCCCCGGGCUCAACCUGGGAAUUGCGCUUGUGACUGCAAGGCUGGAGUGCGGCAGAGGGGGAUGGAAUUCCGCGUGUAGCAGUGAAAUGCGUAGAUAUGCGGAGGAACACCGAUGGCGAAGGCAAUCCCCUGGGCCUGCACUGACGCUCAUGCACGAAAGCGUGGGGAGCAAACAGGAUUAGAAACCCCGGUAGUCC
This 450-nucleotide ribosomal RNA is filed under the name uncultured bacterium. RNAcentral's name for it is "partial 16S ribosomal RNA". It matches the Rfam family "Bacterial small subunit ribosomal RNA", at positions 354 to 796 of the family's 1533-position model. The record is from RNAcentral.